UGGGAAUAUUGGACAAUGGGCGCAAGCCUGAUCCAGCCAUGCCGCGUGAGUGAUGAAGGCCCUAGGGUUGUAAAGCUCUUUUGUGCGGGAAGAUAAUGACGGUACCGCAAGAAUAAGCCCCGGCUAACUUCGUGCCAGCAGCCGCGGUAAUACGAAGGGGGCGUAGCGUUGCUCGGAAUCACUGGGCGUAAAGGGUGCGUAGGCGGGUCUUUAAGUCAGGGGUGAAAUCCUGGAGCUCAACUCCAGAACUGCCUUUGAUACUGAAGAUCUUGAGUUCGGGAGAGGUGAGUGGAACUGCGAGUGUAGAGGUGAAAUUCGUAGAUAUUCGCAAGAACACCAGUGGCGAAGGCGGCUCACUGGCCCGAUACUGACGCUGAGGCACGAAAGCGUGGGGAGCAAA
This 400-nucleotide ribosomal RNA is filed under the name uncultured bacterium. RNAcentral describes it as "bacterial SSU rRNA". It matches the Rfam family "Bacterial small subunit ribosomal RNA", at positions 356 to 772 of the family's 1533-position model. The record is from RNAcentral.